UCCGGGGUAGCUCAACCGGCAGAGCGGCGGCCUGUUAAGCCGAAGGUUGCGAGUUCGAGUCUCGCCCCCGGAG
Molecule: transfer RNA, 73 nt
Filed under: Actinomycetota bacterium
Lineage: Bacteria; Bacillati; Actinomycetota
Description: tRNA-Asn
Rfam family: tRNA
About the family: Transfer RNA (tRNA) molecules are approximately 80 nucleotides in length. Their secondary structure includes four short double-helical elements and three loops (D, anti-codon, and T loops).
Source: RNAcentral